Long non-coding RNA from Stomoxys calcitrans (stable fly), 975 nucleotides. RefSeq lists it as uncharacterized. The record is from RefSeq and is a predicted model, not a curated record. NCBI's taxonomy places the organism in Eukaryota, Metazoa, Arthropoda, Insecta, Diptera, Muscidae. The transcript has 2 exons.
AAUGAUUUUUGUUCGUUUUUCCAAUUUCUCCUAAGACUUCUAAUAACCAAAUUGUGAUGUGAAGCGGAGAUCCUUGCAAUCAAGGAAGUGUUGGAAUAGCUAAGAUACAAUGUCACAACGACGAUUGGCAUAAAUAUUUUCUCAGAUAGCCAUGCAGCCAUUAAAUCCCUGGAAAACGUAAUUCUAAAUUAAAAACCGCCCUCUACUUUCCCAGAUCUCCCAACAAGAUGGUUGAACAAUAGAAUUCUGGGUACCGGCCCACAGAGAUAUCCCAGGGAAUUGUACAAGAGACGAGCCAGAGCGACUAGAACUACUAUAAACUGGAAUCUGUGGGUAUGCCUCAGCGACAUGCAAUCCAAGCAUGCCCUUUCAGAACUGAAAGGGCAACCAAUUACAGAUGGUCACAAAGUAGGGAUUGCGAAAACUCCAAAAAUAUGUGGCCCAAUCUUGAAUCAAUCACUAGAGCAGCCGCUCAACUUUUUAUGCUUACAUCACAGUACUUCUUGGAAGAAUGUAAUGGAACAUAUUUAAAUGCAUUGAUUUUGAAGAACCAUCGAUGAACGCCGAUCGAGCCCAUUUUUACCAUAAAUUCGAUAGUUCUCCCCAACUUAAGGCAUUCAAAAGAGAACCAUUGAGAGCUCAUCAUCUACUCCCAAAAACCAAAUUUAAGUCUUUUACUGAAGGGUUCUCGCUGCUUAGCAACUAUAAGAAGGCACAUCUCACAGUUGGGCUUUUUUAAGUGAGCUGGAUGGUUCAACGGUUGAACGAAAAUCUCUAAGUGAGUCUGAUGACAGACUGCCAUUUAAACCUAACCUUACCUACUCUUGUCAGGAAACCAUUGAAAAAAAUCAAACAAUUGCCCAUUUCCAUAAGUCCAUCACCUCUUCUACACAUUUUAACUGACAAAAAGUAAAAUGUUUAGGAUUUUGCUAUUGCGUUUUUUAUAACCUAUGAAUAAAUGUAAUAAAAUUAAAA